RNAcentral lists this long non-coding RNA (2120 nucleotides) under Prunus persica (peach). RNAcentral describes it as "long non-coding RNA (PPER_LNC007506)". The record is from RNAcentral. Lineage: Eukaryota; Viridiplantae; Streptophyta; Magnoliopsida; Rosales; Rosaceae.
CCACCAAUCACAAGCCUACGAAAAUUAAUCCAAGAUUGCUGCAAGCCUUUUGAGAAACAGCUAACACCCAGUGAUGUGAGUAAAACUCCCAGGCUCUGCUUGAACAAAGAAUACGUUGAAAAUCACAUCAAACCAGUAUUAAGAGACGGUGAAAACCCUAAUGAAGGCAUCGAUGUGACAACUUAUGACAUGGAAGGCAAGGAGUACCCAAUGAAGUUCACGACUUGGGGCACCGAUCUUUAUGUCCUUAGUAAAGGCUGGAAAACUUUCUGUCAUGAUGUUGGACUGGUUGAGACACAGGAUUUUCUGACGUUGUGUGUUUUCCGCCAUGCCAAGAAUGGAGGCCUCUGCUUCGCAAUCCAUUCACGAAGGUUGCCUUUGUUCAAAAGCAUCAAGAAAAGAAGACAAAGAAAGCAGAAUUGAGAUUGUGGACUGCCAUUAAUGUUAGUGGAGGUUUGCUUUAGGAGUUCCUCUUCAUAUUUCUGAUGUUUUGGGCAUAAUGUCCAUUUUCCUAUGAGUAUUAUGAAUUUUUGGGCAUAUUAUCCCCCCAUUUUUGUAGGAUUUCAUAGCAUUUUCACAGUUUCUGCUUCAUAAUGCAGAGUACUGAUGAUGAUCAGUUCUUGCUAGCUUAAAGGGGUUCAAUCUUUUCAUUCUUUAAAUUGUCCCUAUUGUUUUCCAGUACUAACGCAGCUGUGAAUUUUUGUUAAGGAUGUAGAAAGAAAGAAUCUUAGUUUUACUUGUACUAGUUGUCAUGGCAAAUUAAGUGUAGCAAGGUAGCUCUUUUUUAACAGUGCAUAAAUUUUUGUUUACUGAAAUAUUGAAUUCUCUGAUUAGACCUCUCUGUCUAUAACCCUGGUCUGAAAACCAGGUACACUACUUUCUUUAGCUAUCUAUUUUGUAAAUCAACCAAAAUCUCAUGAAACAUAUACCCAAAAAAAAAAAAAAAAAAGUGUCUUCACUAGUUUACUGUAGCAUGUAAAGGGAUCAAAGCCACAUUACCCCAAAGGGUAUUGCUGCAAACAGCUCAAGGUUACAGACAAUUCUGUAAAGAGAUCAAAUUUCAGGUUUUAUGGACAUUUUUUUGCUGCAAAUUUGUAAGCAGAAAUUGAAAUAAUCAGUAUAUAUUAAUCACUUUAAAAGAUUGUCUGUACAAGUUUUCUGUAGCAUGUAAGAGAUAAAAGCCACAUUACCCAAUAAGGUUAAUACUGCAAACAGCUCAAUUUUGCAGAAAAUUCUGUAAAGAGAUCAAAUUUUAGGUAUUCUAGACAUUUUUAUGCAAUUUGUUUGGAUAUGUGAUAUUAUUGAGAAAGAGAGAGAGAGAGAGAGAGAGAGAGAGAGAGAGAGAGAGUUAAAGAUAACUAAGAGUAACUAGACAUUGACAUACUGGAAUUUAAGACCAAUCGGAGCAGGCUCUGGAUCCGACCCGCUCGAGCAACUAGUACUUCUAGACGAUUUCGGGUUGGAUGUGGAUGCUCCAGCUCUUUGGUGGUGGAUAGAGUCCAUGGCAAUCGACAGUGUGGGAGGGAGAAGAAGAGGAAGAAGAAAAAGGGCGCGCUUUGCUCUAGCAGAGAUCACGAUUUUGGCGCAAAAGGUUAGAAGCAGAAAAAAAGUAACUUGAGAAGCCAAUAAUACCCCUGCCUGCUAACUCGUCUUUUCAUGUAGCAGGACAAAAACGACAUUUAAUAUUUAACCUUGUGACAACCAUGUUGGAAUCCUUGCUUUGUAGGUUUUGGUUUCAUCAAUUUAAUGUCCUUAAGUAGCAAUGCAAAAUAAAUCAUCAGCUAUGAAUAUUGUCCUGCAAUAUUUUUCAACACAAAAACAUUUACUUGAUAAUUUUACCCAGCAAGAUGGUUAAAUUUACAAGUCAGUAAUAGCUUUCUCCAGUCAAAGUAUAUGGGGUGUUAACAGUUGGUUGUUAGUUAUAACAGAUUUAGUCCAGAGACUAAUAAGUAAUUCGAGAUCCAUUAUCAAGCAAAAAAAAAAAAAAAAAAAAAGAAGAAAAGGGGUUCCAUCUAGAAACAUCUGAUCUUUAACUGUCUAUAAAACUCAGUGCAGAAAGAGAAAGAGCAAGUACCUUCCAUUUCCCAUUUUUCUUCAACCAAAUUAAUCUCCCAAAAAAC